UACGGGGGGGGCAAGCGUUGUUCGGAAUUACUGGGCGUAAAGGGCCAGUAGGCGGCCAACUAAGUCCGACGUGAAAUCCCCAGGCUUAACCGGGGAACUGCGUCUGAUACUGGAUGGCUUGAGUUCGGGAGAGGGAUGCGGAAUUCCAGGUGUAGCGGUGAAAUGCGUAGAUAUCUGGAGGAACACCGGUGGCGAAGGCGGCAUCCUGGACCGACACUGACACUGAGGAGCGAAAGCCAGGGGAGCAAACGGG
Molecule: ribosomal RNA, 253 nt
Filed under: uncultured bacterium
Lineage: Bacteria
Description: partial 16S ribosomal RNA
Rfam family: Bacterial small subunit ribosomal RNA
Source: RNAcentral